AACGGAGGGGGCAAGUGUUAUUCAGCAUGAUUGGGCGUAAAGGGCGCGUAGGCGGUUAAGAAGGAUAAGAACGAAAUCUUCCGGGUUUGCCGGAGAACGGGUUUAUUACCACUUAACUUGGAGUCGGGGAGAGGAUGACAGUAUUCUUGCAGGAGAGGUGAAAUUCGCAAAUAGCAAGAAGACUCACACUAAGCGAAAGCGGUUAUCCGGAACGAGACUGACGCUGAGGCGCGAAAGCGUGGGGAGCGAAUGGG
RNAcentral lists this ribosomal RNA (254 nucleotides) under uncultured bacterium. RNAcentral describes it as "partial 16S ribosomal RNA". It matches the Rfam family "Bacterial small subunit ribosomal RNA", at positions 524 to 776 of the family's 1533-position model. The record is from RNAcentral.